RNAcentral lists this ribosomal RNA (433 nucleotides) under uncultured bacterium. RNAcentral's name for it is "partial 16S ribosomal RNA". It matches the Rfam family "Bacterial small subunit ribosomal RNA", at positions 29 to 507 of the family's 1533-position model. The record is from RNAcentral.
AGCGAACGCUGGCGGCAGGCCUAACACAUGCAAGUCGAACGAACUCUUCGGAGUUAGUGGCGGACGGGUGAGUAACACGUGGGAACGUGCCUUUAGGUUCGGAAUAACUCAGGGAAACUUGUGCUAAUACCGAAUGUGCCCUUCGGGGGAAAGAUUUAUCGCCUUUAGAGCGGCCCGCGUCUGAUUAGCUAGUUGGUGAGGUAAAGGCUCUCCAAGGCGACGAUCAGUAGCUGGUCUGAGAGGAUGAUCAGCCACAUUGGGACUGAGACACGGCCCAAACUCCUACGGGAGGCAGCAGUGGGGAAUCUUGCGCAAUGGGCGAAAGCCUGACGCAGCCAUGCCGCGUGAAUGAUGAAGGUCUUAGGAUUGUAAAAUUCUUUCACCGGGGACGAUAAUGACGGUACCCGGAGAAGAAGCCCCGGCUAACUUCGUG